UCUAUAUUAUGCAUUUAUUUAUUUUUUAAUAUCUAUGCCAUUAAAAAGUCAGAAUUGGGUCCUACAGUAGAACCCCUUAACCCAAUAAAAAGUCAGAAUUUGUUUGUUUGUUAUUUUUUUAAAGUAUGCAGUGUAUGGCCUGGGCUUAGACAUCUGAUUCCCAGAUUCUUCCAAUUCCUAUGGGAGCAGUAGGUGGUGCUUGUGGAGGUGGAAUUUGGACUCGGAUCUCAGUUGAGACGUUGACUGUGGUGGUCGGAGGUUCACAAUCUUGGCGCUAGGCACUAUACAAGUCUGGUAGUGGGACCAUACAGUACCGAGUCGUACCAUACCGAGACUUGCGUUGUGUAGAUUUACCCAGCAUAACCUUCCAGCUUGUAAACCUGUUCUUACACUAGGAUGGGUAAUGAUGACUUUCUGGUCAUGGGCAUCAGAAAGUGUAAUUACACUUGCCACUGCUUGCUGAGUGACCAAUAGGGUCUCAUGGUGUGUCUGGAUGCACGCUGCUGCUCUGCCCUCCUUCAGGCAAGUCAAUGGUAUAAUUGAAGAGGAUCUAGAUGCUUUAGCAACUACAACACUUAGUGCUUUGGGGGAAAGAAAGAGCUUGUUCUUACAGCAUUCAAUUUCCUUGGGAUGGACUAUAUUGCCACAAGCAUACCUUCAUUCCGAUCUAAAGUCUUGUUUGCAUCGAUUCAUGUGAAAUAUCCAAAGUAAAUUUCUGUGUUGCAUGAUUGUGUUCCCUGUAACAUAAUAAGGUGUCUUGAUAGAUUGCAUAUUACAAAAGUGUUGGUAAAAGCUGCAUAUCACGAUGAUAUCUGUAUUUGUAUCCAUUAUUUUUUUUCCUGUAAUUAUCAAUCUCAGUUAUGAUGUAUUAGUUUUCCAGAUUGACAAUUGUCGGCUUUGCAGCAGUGACUUUCUAACUAAUGCAGGACCGCUAUGUAGCAAUACAUUAAAUCUUACCUUUCCCCUUAAAACUGAGUUUAUGUUUAUGUUGUCACCUUUUUUUGUGGUUGCUGUUUACAGGCCCUAUGGCGAUCCAACUUAUUUAUCUUGGACCAGGAAAAGCAACGCAGGCUAAUAACAGGUUAUUUUCUUUCGUUAAUCUGGUCCCAGACAAUUGGUGUUUUACUGAGCCACUAAGGUGGCUUACUGUCAGAAACCUUUCAGUUUCAUGUGGCCGAUCGGUUGCUGGAGAUCAUCCGGAGAAGUUAUGGCGCCAUUUAAGCUUAGCAUCCCAAUUACAGGCCAUAUAUAUAUGAUGUUUUAGUGCUGGCGCAAUCAAGGGUGACAGAUUUCGAGCAUCUUGGCUUUUUUCCUGUAAUUUUCCCGAAAUGCUCCAAUUCAUAUAUCUACCUGCCGGGCUAUUCUCAGCUCGACAAAAGUAUUAUUUUGGUGUAUAGUUUCAGGUAAAGCUCUUACAAAUUAAAGGUUGAAGGUGGUUUUACUGAUUAGUGGAGCUGCUGCAAGUUAAUAUGCUUAAAUCCUUAACCAUAGUCUAACCGAAGCCAAGGUGUUCCUUCUGUUCAUCUCCCAAAUGCCAAUUCUAACCAAGUAUGUUGUGUGCUUUUGGGUGUUAUAACAGGUAUAAGGUUUUUUUUGGAGCCUUGUUCUUGGUUAGUUGAGUAAUGAGAACAUCAUAGUAUUUUGGGAAUCCUUCUGGAAAAGGCAUCUCAACAUUGUGAGCUCUAUUUUCAGCUAGGGAGAUGAAAUGCCUGCUGAGUUGGUGGAAAGAGACAUACAUUUGAUCUACCAGUACUCUGUUGAUCCAUGUGUCUGGUAGGUGGGUGGGGUGAGAGAUAAUGUGCUAGUUGUUGUGCCAUCAGACUACAACCUAGAGAAGUAUUUGGUGUUCUAUCAUCUUUAGAGAAUUUUGCCCUUUUGUUUCCAUCUCCGUAUGGUACCUCGUGGUCAGCAGUACUUUCAUAUUCGUGAUUAUAUAUAUACUUAU
This is a non-coding RNA of Phoenix dactylifera (date palm), 1945 nucleotides long. Lineage: Eukaryota; Viridiplantae; Streptophyta; Magnoliopsida; Arecales; Arecaceae. The record is from RefSeq and is a predicted model, not a curated record.